AAUAUGCCUUUGGUUAUGAAUGUUAAUAUAAUUAUGGUGACGGAGCAAUGAAUAAAUGUAUGUGUAAUAGGAUCAUAGAUCUGAUGAAAGUUGUUUCGGGGUAGGGUGAAUUUUGUAAUGUUAAUAUAAUUAUGGUGACGGAGCAAUGAAUAAAUGUAUGUGUAAUAGGAUCAUAGAUCUGAUGAAAGUUGUUUCGGGGUAGGGUGAAUUUUGGGGUAUGACAGCUGCCCCUAUUUAAU
Molecule: long non-coding RNA, 239 nt
Filed under: Lathyrus oleraceus (garden pea)
Lineage: Eukaryota; Viridiplantae; Streptophyta; Magnoliopsida; Fabales; Fabaceae
Description: Pisum sativum (pea) long non-coding RNA (PSAT_LNC014216)
Source: RNAcentral